Homo sapiens (human) is the source of this 3854-nucleotide long non-coding RNA. RefSeq lists it as uncharacterized. Lineage: Eukaryota; Metazoa; Chordata; Mammalia; Primates; Hominidae. The record is from RefSeq and is a predicted model, not a curated record. The transcript has 2 exons.
UUGUCAACAUAAUGUGAUGUGCUUAUCUGAUGAUUUAUUUUAUGAAACGUCAAAAUAACUUUGGGCUCAAAAGUCAAUCUAAAUCUGUAACUUUUGUUUGAAAAUCAUAAUUUUAAUGGCUGCCUAUGACCUAGAACAGCUUUUGGCCAAAUAGCCACAAGUCUGUCACUACCCCAAGCAUAGAUAUUUUAGUCAAAAAUUUAAAGGAAAUACCAAUAUUUGGCUGGGGAGUAAGGGUUGGUCUAUUUGUUAUUUGCACAGUGGGACUAUUUCUCUUAUUUUUGUGUCUUAAAUCAGGAGCAUAUAAACUCUUGGCUCUGUUUGUUCCUGCCCUUUUUGGUCUGUUCAUUUCUGUGCUUGGCAGAGAAAAUAACUUAGAGAAAUUAGCUGCCCAAAUGUGUGAUUUCUUGGUCUACCAGGGCUGGGUGUGAAGCAGGUGCUUCCAGGACAUUCCUGGGUUGUCCAGGGUGCUCAUGUGUAAUCAUCUGUCUACACAGUAUAGCAACAUCAUUUCCCAGCAUCCCUCUGGUUCCAACAAGCUGGAUCACUCUGUGUCUUUGCAGUUCUCUGUGAUAGACACUGGCAGCUGGUGAUAUGUGGGGCUGACAGUUUCCCCUGAAACUUGGCAAUGAGGGGAACAAGGACAUAGGCAGAGCUGUGCAGCCUGAGAGCCCUGAGAAGGAGGUUGGGAAGUGUGCUCUGGGGUCUCUCCAGUAGCAGACGCAGGUUCAGCAGAGCUGGAAUUGGCCCAAAAUAAUGAAUUUGUCCUCCUGGAACAAAAACAGGGAAAGAACUGAGCUCACUUGGAUGUCCCAGGUUGAGACAGGAGAGGUCAUUUAGGUCCAUUAAGAGCCAGGAGUGUGUCAUCUGUCUUAUAUCAUGGGAUAUAAGAAAGUGGGGAUCAGAGGAACAAAUCUGAUGGUGAGCUCCCUGUAGGUCUACCCAGGUCUACCCAGGCAAGAGGAGACUCGAUUCUGGGGAAUGUGGGUCAUACAGUUUUCUUUUGCAAGAGCAUCCUCAGUGUGUCUUUGGGUAACUGUCACCCGCCCGUAAUGACAUGUUUAGUGUCUGGCUUCUCUCUUAGGACCAUACACUCAGUGAGGCAGGGCCUAGGUUGGUCUGGUUCUUAGAUGGUUCCCCACUGCCCAGCAAAAGGUCUAGUGGGCCAUGACCAGAGAGGUGUGCUAUACCUUUGGGGCAGACUGCCUCAGCAAGAGACCUGUUUUUCCUGUGCUCUCUGCUUCCUGUGUGCUGAUUUCACUCCUGUCUCACAGUGGCCAUGCCCCAUUCCUGGGUUGGUGACCCCUGACAGCAGUGAGCAUUCUGGUCACUAUUACUCAUAUACCUCACCCAAUGUAAAUGAAUGCAUUUAGAUGGGAUUUUAUAGCUCUCUUCUGCAUUGGAUCAGCAUCAGUUGAUUACUAAUAAGUAUUUUCAUCUCUGCAUGAAUGACGGAGUCCUCUUCCUGGUCAGUUAAGGCCAGACUCUGAUCAUGGUAAAUUUGCUAAGAAAUGCCAAAGCAGCGUCACCCUCUGAGGUCCCUUGGUGUUACCACCCUUUUGUCAACUCAUGUAUGAUCCCACCUGAUUCAUUCAGUUCAAAGCUUUAACACGGCUAGAAGCCUCUGAAGGGAGCUAUGAAGCAUGCCAGCUGGUCAUUUGAGCACCAGGGCCCUGGUGCCUGGUUCCAGUUCUCACUUGCCACUUCCCAGCUGUGUGACUUCUGUGAGUUUAGCAACCUCUCUGGGCUCAGUUUUCUUAUGGGGAUGAUAACAGUUAAUGGCCUCAGCAUAGGUAAGGGAUUAAGUGAAUAAAGACAUAUAAGGACUCCACACAGGGCCUGGCACACUGGAAAGGCUCAGCGAGUGUUUGCUCUGAUGAUUCUCAAGCAUUGUUAUCUCUUAACUUGCUUUUUAAUAUUCAUCUUUUUCAGCAAGGCCCUGAACCUCCCCUCUUCACCACGUGCAUUCAUUCAUCCAUCCCUCUGUCCAACUUCAUCUAAUGGGGCCAGCGUGGCUACAUCAACACAGCUGCCCUUGUGUUUCUGGAACAGUAAGAAGGGUUCUGAGCCCCAUGAGAGCAGAAGCAGGCCUAUAUACCUUCACAUCUGUAUCCUCAGGGCCUGGAUCAGGGCUGGCCCUGAAGAGGUACUCAGGAAUGUUUGGUAAAGAAACGUUCUCAGCAUUUGUCUUCCCAGCUGACCAGGAAGGUUCCACUUGAUCCUGGGCACCCGUUCUGGGUACAGCAUAGGCUAUUGGCCAACACAUGCUCAGCUGUGCCAAAGAUGAGAGGAGCAGGGCAUGUGCCUCGGGCAGCUCUGGUAGUUUCAUUAAGAUUCCUGUUUGCUGGGUAUGUCGUGGGGAAGCUGAUCAUGGUGUUCCCACCACCACGGCUAGCUGGGAAAGCCUUGUCUCACCUACCUCCAUCUCCUGCUUCCUGGGCACCUGCUUGCGGGAGAGAGAGAGAGCAAUUCAGGUAUGCCACAAGGGGAACUUACCUGCCUAAAUGCAGGUUUGUCAAGAAUUCUUGUCCAGCCAGAAAAAAUCUUGUCAGGCUGAAGCGAAGUGAUACAUGAUUUUUUUUUUUAAAGUCUGCUUUAAAUUUCUCGUGGCUUCCAAAAAAGCGGCUAGCAUACUUCCAUAUGGGAUAAACUGGUAUUCCAUUAGAUUAACUCAUGCAACAUUUUCUGAGAACCUACUGUGCCCCAGGUACCAGAGAUGCCACAAUGAGUAAAACCUACCCCACCAGGCUGUGCCAUGUGGCCAGAAGAGCCCAGAUGAGGAGGCUGUGGGUCUCUCCAGUAGCAGGUGUGGGGUCAGGCUCGUGGUCAUCUUAGCCUCUUCCAGUCCUGCUUGUCUGGAGUCUGUGUGAUGUAGGGGCAAGAGCACUGAGAGGACGUUGAAGGCCCUGGAUUCUGUCUCUUGUUUGUCCUUCACCCGCUGAAUGUCUGACAAAUGGUUUCUUCAUCUGUAAAUGAGAGAGCCACACUAAUUAAAGGUCUGGAAGGGCCCUUGAGGACACACAUUCCAUGUUCUGUGAUCCCCACUUCUCUGUGUGUGUUUUCUCUUUUUUCUCUCAGCACACUGGGGCCAGACACUGCCGCUACAUGUGGUGGAACCAAGUGACAGAGGGGGAGUAAGCGGAGGCUGGAAUUUCUCCCUCUGUUGGCUCUCCCUGACCACCUGCCUGCUUAGCCUCUCCUCUUCCCCCAGUGAAAGUGCUGCAGCAAUCUCGGCCUUUGGCACUCUCCUCAGGAAUUUAUGAAGCUUGUGAUGUGAAUGAUGGAGCCAGCUAAGCCUCCUCUGCACUGACAGCUCAGCACAAUGACCUGUUGGGUGAUGAAAGAAAUGCCAGGUGCUUCAGUUUUCUGUUCCACCGAGUGGAUGUGUCCCCCGCCUCUGUCUCUCAGCUUCUGGAGGAAUUGAAGCCUGUGACAUGUUUCGUUCCCAGAUGCUUCUUGCAGCCUCUACCCGACACUGCUUAUGGAAGCUGAGGCUCAGAGAGGGCUCUGGAAUAUUUCAGCCGCUUACAUGUAGCCAUUUUGGUGUGGUUGUGUCAAAAUGACUUUGCCCAGAUGCAAAACCACUGGUAACUUAAACUUCUUUUUUAAGUAGUAUCUCCCAGGGAUCUCUGUAAGCCAUGUCACCCCCACCUGGUCUCUCCCUUUCCUCUUCCUCAACCCUGCCCUGACCCUGACUUACCCAACCCCUGCUUGAUCUUCAUGUGAUGAUGAGGCAGGUGUGGGGAAGAAGAAAGUAUUUGCAUAUUACUUGGUAAUUUUUCAGGAGGUAAAUGUUGGAUGCAUGUGCCUGCUGUUGUUUUGGUUUUAGGUGGCAUUAAACUGUUCCAACAUGG